Molecule: non-coding RNA, 100 nt
Organism: Arachis ipaensis
Lineage: Eukaryota; Viridiplantae; Streptophyta; Magnoliopsida; Fabales; Fabaceae
Source: RefSeq, a predicted model, not a curated record
UCAUUAUUGUUAAUCUUGAUACCAUUUACCUUGAAGUCUCAAUAAUAAUUAGAACUCAAAGUUGAAUGCUUCUUUCACUCAUUAAGUUGACAUUCCAUGA